This 443-nucleotide ribosomal RNA is filed under the name uncultured bacterium. Its description in RNAcentral is "partial 16S ribosomal RNA". It matches the Rfam family "Bacterial small subunit ribosomal RNA", at positions 29 to 506 of the family's 1533-position model. The record is from RNAcentral.
AAUCAACGCUGGCGGCGCGCUUAACACAUGCAAGUCGCACGAGAAAGGGAGCAAUCCUGAGUAAAGUGGCGUACGGGUGAGGAACACGUGGGAAUCUACCCCUUGGCGGGGAAUAACCCUGGGAAAACGGGGCUAAUACUGCAUAAGCACGUGAGAGGAAAGCAGCAAUGCACCGAGAGAGGAGCCCGCCGCCGGGGAGCGAGUUGGUGGGGUAAUGGCUCACCAAGGCGGAGAUCGGUAGCCGGCCUGGGAGGGCACACGGCCACACUGGGACUGAAACCCGGGCCCGACUCCUGCGGGAGGCAGCAGUGGGGAAUCAUGCACAAUGGGGGAGACCCUGAUGCAGCGGGGCCGCGUGGGCGAUGUAGCGCUUCGGAGUGUAAAGCGCUUUCGACAGGACCGAUAUUGCCGGUACCUGGAGAAGAGGCUGCGGCUACCUACGU